This is a non-coding RNA of Pogona vitticeps (central bearded dragon), 386 nucleotides long. The record is from RefSeq and is a predicted model, not a curated record. NCBI's taxonomy places the organism in Eukaryota, Metazoa, Chordata, Lepidosauria, Squamata, Agamidae.
AAAAAAACACAUUCACUUCCGGGUCGUGCACAUUGGAAGAACGCUUUCCAGUUUGUUCGCUGGUUUCGGCCGAGGGUGGUGUUCCUUAGACCGUGGUCGCUAUGGCCCGAAAUGCAGAGAAGGCCAUGACGGCCUUGGCAAGAUUUCGCCAAGCUCAGUUAGAAGAAGGAAAGGUUAAGGUAACUACAGCAAUGUGUUUAUAUGUAAAGUGCCAUGGGACCUCUUGUUACAAAUUUUGAAAUAGAUUGCUUUGAAUUUCAAUUCAUUGUAAGCCCUAAUGUGGCUGACAUCUUUCUUUCCUCAGAUAUUGCCCUUUGAACACAAUAGCUCUUAUCUAAGUAAUAAUACUAAGGUUUUAAUCCAGGAGGUAUGUACAAUGGUGCCUC